RNAcentral lists this ribosomal RNA (447 nucleotides) under uncultured bacterium. RNAcentral describes it as "bacterial SSU rRNA". It matches the Rfam family "Bacterial small subunit ribosomal RNA", at positions 335 to 774 of the family's 1533-position model. The record is from RNAcentral.
ACUCCUACGGGAGGCAGCAGUGGGGAAUAUUGGACAAUGGGCGAAAGCCUGAUCCAGCCAUGCCGCGUGUGUGAAGAAGGUCUUCGGAUUGUAAGCACUUUAAGUUGGGAGGAAGGGUUGUAGAUUAAUACUCUGCAAUUUUGACGUUACCGACAGAAUAAGCACCGGCUAACUCUGUGCCAGCAGCCGCGGUAAUACAGAGGGUGCAAGCGUUAAUCGGAAUUACUGGGCGUAAAGCGCGCGUAGGUGGUUCGUUAAGUUGGAUGUGAAAUCCCCGGGCUCAACCUGGGAACUGCAUUCAAAACUGUCGAGCUAGAGUAUGGUAGAGGGUGGUGGAAUUUCCUGUGUAGCGGUGAAAUGCGUAGAUAUAGGAAGGAACACCAGUGGCGAAGGCGACCACCUGGACUGAUACUGACACUGAGGUGCGAAAGCGGUGGGGGACAAAAC